GGCGAACGGGUGAGUAAUAUAUCGGAACGUGCCCAGUAGUGGGGGAUAGCCCGGCGAAAGCCGGAUUAAUACCGCAUACGACCUGAGGGUGAAAGCGGGGGAUCGCAAGACCUCGCGCUAUUGGAGCGGCCGAUAUCAGAUUAGCUAGUUGGUGGGGUAAAGGCCUACCAAGGCUACGAUCUGUAGUUGGUCUGAGAGGACGACCAGCCACACUGGGACUGAGACACGGCCCAGACUCCUACGGGAGGCAGCAGUGGGGAAUUUUGGACAAUGGGCGCAAGCCUGAUCCAGCAAUGCCGCGUGCAGGAAGAAGGCCUUCGGGUUGUAAACUGCUUUUGUCAGGGAAGAAAUCUUCUGGGCUAAUACCCCGGGAGGAUGACGGUACCUGAAGAAUAAGCACCGGCUAACUACGUGCCAGCAGCCGCGGUAAUACGUAGGGUGCGAGCGUUAAUCGGAAUUACUGGGCGUAAAGCGUGCGCAGGCGGCUUUGCAAGACAG
Molecule: ribosomal RNA, 498 nt
Filed under: uncultured bacterium
Lineage: Bacteria
Description: bacterial SSU rRNA
Rfam family: Bacterial small subunit ribosomal RNA
Source: RNAcentral